Molecule: small nuclear RNA, 274 nt
Filed under: Vulpes vulpes (red fox)
Lineage: Eukaryota; Metazoa; Chordata; Mammalia; Carnivora; Canidae
Description: 7SK RNA (ENSVVUG00000025477.1)
Rfam family: 7SK RNA
About the family: 7SK was discovered as an abundant small nuclear RNA in the mid-70s but a possible function has only recently been suggested. Two independent studies have found that 7SK RNA binds the CDK9/cyclin T complex (known as elongation factor P-TEFb).
Source: RNAcentral
GGAUGUGAGGGCGAUCUGGCUGCGACAUCUGUCACCCCAUUGAUCGCCAGGGUUGAUUCGGCUGAUCUGGCUGGCUAGGCGGGUGUCCCCUUCCUCCCUCACCGCUCCAUGUGCGUCCCUCCCGAAGCUGCGCGCUCGGUCGAAGAGGACGACCAUCCCCGAUAGAGGAGGACCGUUCUUCGGUCAAGGGUAUACGAGUAGCUGCGCUCCCCUGCUAGAACCUCCAGACAUUGCUGAGAGAAGAAAGCAGGGACACUAGGAAGGAGCUAGUGAA